UGGCAAGCGUUAUCCGGAAUUAUUGGGCGUAAAGCGCGCGUAGGCGGUUUUUAAGUCUGAUGUGAAAGCCCACGGCUCAACCGUGGAGGGUCAUUGGAAACUGGAAAACUUGAGUGCAGAAGAGGAAAGUGGAAUUCCAUGUGUAGCGGUGAAAUGCGCAGAGAUAUGGAGGAACACCAGUGGCGAAGGCGACUUUCUGGUCUGUAACUGACGCUGAUGUGCGAAAGCGUGGGGAUCAAACAGGAUUAGAUACCCUGGUAGUCCACGCCGUAAACGAUGAGUGCUAAGUGUUAGGGGUUUCCGCCCUUAGUGCUGCAGCUAACGCAUUAAGCACUCCGCCUGGGGAGUACGACCGCAAGGUUGAAACUCAAAGGAAUUGACGGGGCCGCACAAGCGGUGGAGCAUGUGGUUUAAUUCGAAGCAACGCGAAGGUCGACGCGGCCG
Molecule: ribosomal RNA, 444 nt
Filed under: uncultured bacterium
Lineage: Bacteria
Description: bacterial SSU rRNA
Rfam family: Bacterial small subunit ribosomal RNA
Source: RNAcentral